This is a long non-coding RNA of Dioscorea cayenensis subsp. rotundata (Guinea yam), 447 nucleotides long. RefSeq lists it as uncharacterized. Lineage: Eukaryota; Viridiplantae; Streptophyta; Magnoliopsida; Dioscoreales; Dioscoreaceae. The record is from RefSeq and is a predicted model, not a curated record. The transcript is spliced from 4 exons.
UUGGAGUUUCAUCGAUUAAUUCUUCUUCAAGCUUCAGCGGUUUUAGUACAUCUCCAUUCCUGGCUCGCCCAGCUAGGAGGAGUAAGUCUUAGCCUUGUGCACAUGUUAUCUGUAGUAGCGCUACCUUGCGACUGCGGUCGAAGAUCCGGCUACGGCUGUUGAUAUUCUGUUCUGUUCUGUUCUUUUUCGACUUCACAGUCGAUGUUCCACCUUCAUGCUGUUGAUUCUGUUAUCAGUCAGGGAGAUGUACACGAGAAGAUCAAGUCUAGGAUCGGGGAGUGUCUGGGAGUAUUUUCUGCUUUUAACAGUACCUUUGUAGUGCAUUUUAUCUGUGGUUGUGGAGGUAGUAUAAGAAGAAAGGAAGCGAAUAUAAAUCAUGAAUGCAGUUUUUGAGUAUGAUCUUGUGUGGAACAAGUGUCAAAACAUAAGCCAUGAUCAUACACAUGA